Molecule: ribosomal RNA, 776 nt
Filed under: uncultured Neocallimastigales
Lineage: Eukaryota; Fungi; Neocallimastigomycota; Neocallimastigomycetes; Neocallimastigales
Description: partial large subunit ribosomal RNA
Rfam family: Eukaryotic large subunit ribosomal RNA
Source: RNAcentral
UACUAGAGUAGCACUCGCAUAUCAAUAAGCGGAGGAAAAGAAACUAACAAGGAUUCCCCUAGUAACGGCGAGUGAAGCGGGAAGAGCUCAAAUUUGAAAUCUUAAAGGGUUUCCCUUUACGAAUUGUAGUUUAAAGAAGUGUUUUCUGUUGAGGUUUUGGUAAAAGUUCUUUGGGAAUAGGACAUCAUAGAGGGUGAGAAUCCCGUAUUUGACCUUUACUUUCAACUUUGUGAUACACUUUCAAAGAGUCGGAUUGUUUGGGAAUGCAGUCCAAAAUGGGUGGUAAACUUUCAUCUAAAGCUAAAUAUUGGCGAGAGACCGAUAGCGAACAAGUACCGUGAGGGAAAGAUGAAAAGAACUUUGAAAAGAGAGUUAAACAGUACGUGAAAUUGUCAAAAGGGAAGCGUUUGACACCAGUGUUGUUUUUCUGAAAACCAAUUAAAGAACUGUUUAUGCUAAGUUGUUUAGACUUUAUCAGCUAACUGUUUAGUUUUGAGCUUUUCUUUAAUGCACUUUUCAGUUAACAAGUCAACAUCAAUUUCUUUUGCUGUAAAAAAGCUUGAGGAAGGUGGCUUGAGAUUCGUCUUAAGUGUUUAUAGCCUCUUGCCUAUGCAGUCGGAGAGAUUGAGGUCUGCAGCGUAGAUCCUUCGGGGCUAAAUGCAUUUGUGCUAAGUUAUAGCAUUUCAUAGACAACUUGUUGACUAUGAUUUGUCUUGUAGCUUACUCGCUUAUGUUAUUUUACCUACGCUUAGGAUGUUGAUAUCGCGCUCUCACUG